UCAAGCUCACGGCCUCACCUCACCCACCCGCCCGCCUCGCCUCCAUCCACAGCGCCACAGCGGCCACGCCAUCUCCGUCUCUCUGCUCACCUCCACUUCUUCCGUUCUUCUUCACCGUCUCCGUCCUUGACACGGGCGCACCCGUCCCCCUCCGACUUCCCCGUGGCCUCGUCCCGAUCCGUAGUCAACUCGACCUUGUUCAAGAGGGUGAGCCCGAACCACGGCGCGCGGGAGGGCUCUUUUUAUUUUGACCCACCGGAGGACAGCCGCCCCAUGGGCUGGUCGCCUGAGCGCGCUAUGUAUCAGCUCAUCGACCGGCGGAAAGGGCUUGGGUAAAUAAUUGACACAUCUCCCUUGUAAUUGCAUGUGAUUUUUGUUAAGAUGAGUUCACAAAAUAAAGUUUUUUCAAAUACUGGAGAUGCAUGUUCAGUGUUACCUAGUAAAGUCACGUCAUUAAAUCCCAAUGCAGCGGAGUUUGUACCUUCAUCUGUUAAACCAUCUCUUGGAAGCAGUACAGUUCCAGAUGUAACUAAGUUAGAUUUUAGGGGUUCUUCUGGAAAAACAAUCCUAGAUAGGUCUGAAUCAUCAAAGUCUAAUAACUCAGAUGAUGAGGCACACCAGUUUUGGCGUAAGCAGCUUCCUGAUGACAUUAUUCCAGACUUCACUUCUUUUGAGAAAGUUGAACAAGGGCCUGAAUAAUUGUCCCUUGCUGGAUUAUCUUUGAAUGCACCUCCCUUUUUAUGGGACAACAUCCAGUCGCUUCUCAAGAGAGUAUCACGAAUUAUCUUCUCCAGCUACUAAGGGCCUAGAAGUGGAACACACUAAUCUGCUGUAUGAAGAUAAUUAUCUGGGUUCAAGCAACUGGGAGCAGAAUUAUAUUGGUGAUCUUCAUAUUGCUAAUGGAAACCAGGGCCUUCAUUAUGAUUCUGAAACUGGUGUAAGCUUUUCUGAUAGUUUUGCUAGUGAGUAUGCUGCCUCAUCAGAUGGCCUUGUUGCUCCCCUGGAGUACUUAGCAUCUCAGUUCCCUGGAUUUUCAGCAGAGAGCCUUGCAGAGUUGUACUACGCAAAUGAGUGUGAUUUCAACCAUACUAUUGAAAUACUAACCCAGCUAGAGAUGCAAGUUGAUGCUACACCCAAUCACACAUUGAAUCUGGCCCAGAGCACACCGAACUUUAGCACUGGGGAUUUCCCUGCACUUCCAACAGUCGAGGACCAAAAUGGUUUCAAUAAGGGUAAUGUGGAUGUACUUGGCAUGUUCAAUGCGCGCGGCUCAUCUGAAAUGCCUAUCUGAAAUGCCUACUGGAGCUGGUGAUUUUUGUUUCAGCUGUUUGCAAAUUUGCGUCACAGAAUUCUGGCCCGUGGAAGUUUAAAAAAGGUCCUGAAUAUGGUAAUGGUGUUUCAGCUCUUUCUGUACCCAAACAGUACAGUUCUGGCACUAAACAAUCAUCUAGGAACAAGUUUCAAAGCAUCAGCAGUGCAAGAGUUGCCCCAUGGCUUCAGACCGGAGAUGCAGUGGCAAGUAUGUACUCAGAAUCAAGGGGAGAAGCCCGUGAUUUUGCUAGGGUUCGAAAUGCGUGUUUUGAGCAGGUAAGCACUAUCACAUAUGGUUACUGAAGCCUACACUUGCAAUUUCUUUUGCUUGUUCGGGCUAGACAGGCUUACUUGGUUGGCAACAAGGCUGUUGCGAAGGAAUUGAGCAUGAAGGGGCAGACAUACAAUGUGCAAAUGAAAGCAGCUCAUGAGAAAGCUAGAGAAGCUAUUUACCGGCAAAGAUUGCAAUCUUGCCGACGGAGAGUACGUGCUCAUCCCCGAGCAAGGACCUGUCUAAGAGGAGGACCAGGAGCAGGCUUCAGAGGCUGCUAUUGAGGAUCUCCCCGCAGCUCCAGCAAUUGAAG
This is an RNA transcript of Zea mays, 1895 nucleotides long. It is a transcript of the gene named polyadenylate-binding protein-interacting protein 7, with no coding region annotated. The transcript is spliced from 6 exons. NCBI's taxonomy places the organism in Eukaryota, Viridiplantae, Streptophyta, Magnoliopsida, Poales, Poaceae. The record is from RefSeq and is a predicted model, not a curated record.